Molecule: ribosomal RNA, 479 nt
Filed under: uncultured anaerobic ammonium-oxidizing bacterium
Lineage: Bacteria
Description: bacterial SSU rRNA
Rfam family: Bacterial small subunit ribosomal RNA
Source: RNAcentral
UUUCGCAAUGCCCGAAAGGGUGACGAAGCGACGCCGCGUGAGUGAGGAAGGCCUUCGGGUUGUAAAGCUCUGUCAGGAGUUAAGAAAUAUAAGUGUGCUAAUACCUCAUUUAUUUGACAAAGGCCCCAAAGGAAGUCACGGCUAACUCUGUGCCAGCAGCCGCGGUAAUACAGAGGUGGCAAGCGUUGUUCGGUAUUAUUGGGCGUAAAGAGCACGUAGGUGGUUUUGUAAGUCAGGUGUGAAAGCCUUCUGUUCAAAGGAAGAACGGCAUCUGAAACUGCAGAUCUUGAGUGUAGGAGGGGAGAGUGGAACUUCUGGUGGAGCGGUGAAAUGCGUAGAUAUCAGAAGGAACGCCGGCGGCGAAAGCGAUUCUCUGGCCUAUUACUGACACUCAGUGUGCGAAAGCUAGGGGAGCAAACGGGAUUAGAUACCCCGGUAGUCCUAGCCGUAAACGAUGGGCACUAAGUAGAGGGGUUUUA